AAUUGAACUUUCUGAAGCAAAGAUUUUUGCUUAUCUUAUCUGAAUCUUCGUCGCUAAUCUGAUAUAAAUUUGAAGAUAUGAUCAAAGCCACCAUGGAUCUUGGUUGCCUGGAUUUGGGAUGUCUUUCUGACAAGAAAAGCGGCGUCGGAGUUUCCAAUCUAAUGGAUUUUGUUUUCCCGUCUGAUGUCUUCCAGUGACAUUGAAUUGAGUUUCUUCCUGUUCACUAGAAAAAUUAGGGUUGGUAAUUUAGGCUCUCGUAUAGGGGAAUUGAAAAUGGCAGUUCCGGAAUAGUGAAGCUGUUGUUUGGUGUUGUUUAGGAGGUUGUGAGAUAGGAAGAUGAUUAAGCUUUGAUUGAUUUAGUUGUUUACAUGAUCUGCUUUUGUCGCAAUGCCAUCGUAUUAGUUGGAAAAUCUAGCUAACCACCUGGCUAAAUUAG
Molecule: non-coding RNA, 436 nt
Organism: Arabidopsis thaliana (thale cress)
Lineage: Eukaryota; Viridiplantae; Streptophyta; Magnoliopsida; Brassicales; Brassicaceae
Source: RefSeq